Molecule: ribosomal RNA, 497 nt
Filed under: uncultured bacterium
Lineage: Bacteria
Description: partial 16S ribosomal RNA
Rfam family: Bacterial small subunit ribosomal RNA
Source: RNAcentral
GAUGAACGCUGGCGGCGUGCCUAAUACAUGCAAGUCGAACGCUGAAGCUUGGUGCUUGCACCGAGCGGAUGAGUUGCGAACGGGUGAGUAACGCGUAGGUAACCUGCCUCUUAGCGGGGGAUAACUAUUGGAAACGAUAGCUAAUACCGCAUAAAAGUCGAUAUCGCAUGAUAUUGAUUUGAAAGGUGCAAAUGCAUCACUAAGAGAUGGACCUGCGUUGUAUUAGCUAGUUGGUGAGGUAACGGCUCACCAAGGCGACGAUACAUAGCCGACCUGAGAGGGUGAUCGGCCACACUGGGACUGAGACACGGCCCAGACUCCUACGGGAGGCAGCAGUAGGGAAUCUUCGGCAAUGGGGGCAACCCUGACCGAGCAACGCCGCGUGAGUGAAGAAGGUUUUCGGAUCGUAAAGCUCGGUUGUAAGAGAAGAACGAGUGUGAGAGUGGAAAGUUCACACUGUGACGGUAACUUACCAGAAAGGGACGGCUAACUACGUG